Sus scrofa (pig) is the source of this 5452-nucleotide non-coding RNA. Lineage: Eukaryota; Metazoa; Chordata; Mammalia; Artiodactyla; Suidae. The record is from RefSeq and is a predicted model, not a curated record.
CUUGUAGUCGCGGAGCCCGGGCGCCCGCGGCAGCUGAUGUCAGGGGCUGGGCUGCCGCACGAGUGGCCUGCCGGGUGCGGGGGAAAAUGUUCGAGCGCGAGCCCCCGCGGGGCCACUGGGGAGACGGAGGGCAGAAACGGGGGCCGUUGGAGCCAGCCUAAGCUUGGGUGUAAGCUCUGUCACUCAGAGCUCGGGACUAGGCGCUUUUGGGUGCAAAACGAGUGGCCCACACAACUCCCUGGCUAGAAGAGGCCCGAGUCUGGGAGGGGAGAGAUUUGGAGAAACCGAAUCUCAACUCCAUGAAGUCAGUGACGUGUCUCUUCUCUGCUGUACUCCGGGUGCCUGAAAUGUGCCUGGCAGGAAACUUUCAUUUUGGCCACAUAUGUACCUGUGUGCAGGCAUGUGUGCUUCUGUGAGCAUGCCCUGGAUCUCAAUGCCAAGGUAUUUCUUUCUGUGUGUCUUGGUCAAAAACAUUUGAAACCACCAGACUUUCUAGUUAAUCAAGCCAGACUCUUGUAAAGUUUGCAAAUUUAGACCAUGUUGGUUGGAGUUCCAGAAUUGCUUUCGCUGAGCUGUAUUUGGUGCUUAAGAUUUUCGUGAUACUGACUCCUGAAAUGAAUGCUGGGAUAAUGAGGAAAAUGACCUCUAGGUUGCCCAAUCCAGAGGAUGGUUUCAGACUGGGGCUCGGGUGAGACAUUCACUCUCAAGGUCGUGCAAGUCCUGGCUGGGCACGUUCCUAUGGAAUUCAUUCUUCUCUUGAUUCCUUCGUGUUGUGUUCUUCUGGUUCUUUGCUGGUUCUUCUGGUUCUGCAUCUUUGGUUUCUUCUCUGCCCAACCCUAAAAUGAGUGGAAACCCUCAUGGUGCUUCUUCCCAUAAUGCAUUUUUACAGCAGUGGCUGCCGGCACAUCAUGCCUCCUGGCGAGGCAUCCCCACACUGACUUUGGGUUUGGCCACGUGACUCUCUUUGGCCCAUGAGGUCUUAGCUUGGUAGCAAAUGUGUGAAGUCCUGUGCACUGAGACUGCCCACUUAGGAUGCUGCCCUGAGGCCAGUGCAGAGAAGCCCAAAUGAAAGAGCACAUGGAAAGAGAGGCCCAAGUGUUUCAGCUGAACCCAGCGCCCUGCUGACCGCUGGCAUCAACUUGACAUGUGAGUGAGCUGAUUUGGGACCUUCUAGCUCAUGGUCCAGAAGAAUGCAGCCACACAAUGAGUCAGGUGAAACCAGAAGAGGAACGGCCCCACCAGUUUAUAGAGGAUUAGCAAAACACAGCUGACCCUUGAACAACACAUGUUAAAAUUGCUCGGGUACACUCACUUAUACGCUCAUUUUUUUCCAGUAGUGAAUAAGGCAGUGGUAUGUGAUCCAUGGUUGGUGGACUCUGUGGAUGGACCUGUAUAUAUGGAGGAACCACAUAUAUGGAAGGCCAACUAGAAAUUAUAAGCAGAUUUUUGAUUGGGCAGAGAGUCAGUAUCCCUAAUCCUCACCUUACUCAAGGGUCAGCUGUAGCUGUGUUUAGCUGCUAAGAUUUGGAAGGGUUUAUUGUGCAGAAGUCCGUGCCUGAUACAUUCCCUCAACCCUCAUCUUCUCUCACUCUAUGGGUGGACUUAAUCCCUGGCUUCUAACGCGUUGACAGCCCUCAAUUUGACAAUUCUAGCUCAGAACAUGUUUCCGAAGCCCUGAUUCACCUUUCUAACUUCCCAGUGGUGGGUUACAUCCACCUAAAUGUUCACAGGCUUGGGCCAACCCAGUCUGCAUAAACCUUACCUCAUCACCUUACCCGCCUCAGGCCAUCUCCUCUUCCUCCUGUAAUCUGUCCGGGUUAAGAAGCAAAAGGUUGGGCGUUCCAUUGUGGCUCAGCAAAGAACCCGACCAGUAUCCAUGAGGAUGCAGAUUCAAUCCCUGGCCCCGCUCAAAAGGUUAAGCAUCCGGCGUUGCCAUGAGCUGCUGUGUAGGUUGCAGAUGCGCCUCGUAUCUAGUGGGGCUGUGGCUGUGGCUGUGGUGUAGGCCAGCAGCUGUAGGUCCUUUUCACCCUCUAGUGUGGGAACUUCCAUAUGCCACAGGUGCAUCCUAAAAAGCCAAAAAAAAGAAAAAAGAAAAGGGGGGGGCAAAAGAUUGACACAGUGAAAGAUAAGAGGCUGAGGGGCCUCAACACCCUUACCAUUCACACAUCCUGGUGCCUCAGUUUCCUCAUCUGUAAAUUGGGGUUGCCUUAAGAACUCAAGGUGGUAUGUGUAGGUGCUGAGUACAGGCCUGGCCAAGGGGAAGAGCCUGAUAGGCAUGAAUUGUUGCUGUUAUUUCAUUUGUGCCCCAGGCCGGCCUUACUGCAGCUGUUUGAUAGCCUGGGAACUGAUUCUGGAGAGCAUCAGGGCCUGAGAUUUUAAAGGUAGGAUUUGGGACAAAUUGUGCAUCACUUUCUUGAUCCCUAAAAUGCUAAUGUCUGGAGGGCUGCCUCCCAGGAAGGUGGUGAGAUGUUGGUCAUUAAGUCAUUGGGACAGGAAAACCGUAGCUGAGUCCUGCAGAACUAACACCCAGCCUCGUUUGGAUUGUAAGCACAGGGGAGGGAGGGCUGGGAUGAUGUGGGCCUUGUUCACUCAAGACUUGUGCGAUGACUCAGGAUCAAUGCAGGUGGUGGCUGGCCAGUGGGGGUGGCCUGGGGGCCCUGAGUGACAGCAGAUCCAAAGCAGCCCCUGAGUUCCUUCUCGGCAGGUCACAGGAGAGGGGGCUGUACCCAGGACAUCUUUUUGGACAUUGCAAAAGUGACUUGCUCUCUUGGAAGGAAUCUGGUCUCUUUAAAAUCCUUUGUGAAGAUGCAGGAACAUCUGCAGUGGGCACUGCUGGGACUGCUCAGGAGAUAUUAGCCACAUCACGGUGAAAAGAGCAAUUUAUCAGAGGAUGUUCCUUCCAGCGACGGAGAACCUUUCAGAACUUGAUUGCACUUAAUGCACCUGCCUUUCCAAAGGGUUUUUAUUCCACUCUCAAAUGAGAUAAUGAAGCCCUUUAAUUUACUGUUCAACUCCCAAACAGAGUGAGUGGGUCAGGCCCGAGGAGAUGGAAGGCUGGACCCAGGCUCAGGAGGCCAAGUGCACCUGGCCUGGGACUGCCCGUCUCCUGGUGGGAGGCGGCACGGAGCCCCAGGCAGCCCAGGGUCAAUCCCGGCCUUGCAGCUUCCUUCCUGUGUAGCCCCAAGCAAGUUGCUUACUCUGUUGAAGCCUCGGUGUCAUCAUCUGUAGAGGGGAGAUGAAUGAUAGCACUGAUGCGGCAGGGCUGUGGUAAGGAUUAAGGGUGAUGUGGCUAAGUGGGCAGUGCCUGGCCUGGGUAGAUGCUCCAUAAAUGGCAGUUGUCAUUGGGUGGUCAAACAGCCCUGACACCCAAGAGGAGACCGUGCUGACCUUUGGUCCUGGGGAAUGCUUAUGUCCACGACUCUGCCUUAGAAUCACAGCAACAGCACCAAAUAAAAGAACCUUCAAGGCCUUUACCCCCUGCUCGUCUGCCUGUCCCAUCCUGACUGUUUCAGUGGAGCCAGCCUUUGUCUAUCAGACAAAUAGAAGGUAGAUGGAUGGCUGUAAAAGCCCAGCCGUGGGCAGCAUCAGAGCCUAUCCCUGCACCUUGCCCAAGCCUCCCUUUUGGACCUGGGAGCUCCUCCACUUCACUUGCCCUGGUUCUCACCCUCUUGUGGGCAUGUGUAUUCCAACACACAUGGUGGAGUAGGCUCUAGGUAUACCUAAGGGGGCCUCAUUAGAUUUGCGUUAAUUACAAUAGUCUCUCCCCCAACCCCGAAGCAAUAGAGUUGCUCAUUCUGACAACAUCAGUGUAUUAUGAUAAUUUUCCAAGCAUGGCAGUAAAGCAUCCCAGUAAGGGGUGUGUUUUCUCAUUUGCCCAAAGGUCAGUGUAGAUGGAUGUUUUACUCUCCUUCCAGCGCUGCUCCGGUGGCUUCCCUCUGCUCAUCCCCACCUUCCCCUUAUUGUAGGAUUCUGGCAUUUGUCCUCUGCUUCCUGCCUGGGGGGGACCAGCCAGGACUUGCACUCUUGGCCUCACUCCAGCCUGGCUUCCUGACCUGCUCUUGUCUGCUUGGUUCCUGACCCCCGAUUGGCUCCCGCUGACAUCCCCCUCCUCCCUUCACUCUGAACACAUACGUCUCUACCCUGCUCCGCUUGCUCCGACUUUAGCCCCCCUCCUGAUCAUCAUGCACACGCACCCCAUGUCUAUUCUUGCGUUGGCUGAUAACGGCCCUGAAAGAUACCCUUGUGCUAAUCCCUGGACCCUGUAAACUGUACCUUCUAUGGAAAAGGGGUCUUUGCAGAGUUCCCAUUGUGGUUCAGUGGUAAUGAACCCAACUAGUAUCCUUGAGAACUUGGGUUUGAUCCCUGGCCCUGCUCAGUGCAUUAAGGAUCUUGUGUUGCCGUGAGCUGGGGUACAGUUUGCGGAUGUGGCUCGGCUCCCAUGUUGCUGUGGCUGUGGUGUAGGCUGGCAGCUAUAGCUCUGAUUUGACCCCUAGCCUGGGAACUUCCAUAGGCUGCACAUGUAACCCUAAAAAAAAAAAGUAAAAAAAAAAGAAAAAAGAAAAGAAAGAAAAAGAAAAAGCGAAUGAGAUGGGAAGUGUAGCCUGGAUUAGCCAGGUGAGUCCAAUAUACUCAUGGUAUCUUUACAAGAGAGAGACAGAGGGAUAUUUGGCACAGAUGGAAGAGGAGAAGCUGAUGUGACCACAAAGGCAGAGGUUGAAGUACUGUGGCCACAAGCCAAGAAUGCUGGCCACCAUCAGAAUCCAGCCACCAGGAUUCUCUCUUGGAACUUCUGAAGGGAGCACAGCCUUGAUGAUACCUUGAUUUCUGCUGGUAAUACAGAUUUUGUAUUUCUGCCUUCCAGACCUGUGUGAGAAUAAAUUUCUGUUGUUUUAAGCCGCCAACUGUGUGCUCGUUUGUUACAGCAGUCGUAGGAAACUAGUUCUGUCAUCCUCUUUGGGAAAACCUUUUGCCUGGUCUAGGUUAGCUCUGGGCCCUGACUCUGUUCUGGUCCCCAUGGUCCUGGCCCUGAAAGGAGCUCCCUAGCCCUUCAGAUGGGGCCUGGGUGCAGAUGCUGCAAUGCCAGAUCCCACUCCAGGUGGGGGAGCCUGGGGAACUUUGUAUCAACUGCAUAGGCAUUAUCUGCUGGCGAUCUCCCACAGGGCCCCCGGGGUGGUAGACCUCCUAAGAAAACAUUAAUCUUAUCUUUUCUCCCCUAUAAAAUGAUCAAGGCUUGUUAUGGGUGGGGAACAGAUCAGACUGUUCAAAAGAGCAUUUGCUGAGGUCCUACCGUGUCUUAAGCUAUGUGAUGGGCACCUGAUACUUGUUACCUCGUCGAAGUUAUCUUUCUCUAGUCUGGAAGUAAAAAUGGGGCAAUAUCAAUGGUAAUAAAAAGUAUUCCUCUGGGAGUUCCUGUCGUGGCGCAUUGGUUAAUGAAUCCGACUAGGAACCAUGA